RNAcentral lists this ribosomal RNA (253 nucleotides) under uncultured bacterium. RNAcentral describes it as "partial 16S ribosomal RNA". It matches the Rfam family "Bacterial small subunit ribosomal RNA", at positions 524 to 776 of the family's 1533-position model. The record is from RNAcentral.
UACGGAGGAUGCGAGCGUUAUCCGGAUUCAUUGGGUUUAAAGGGUGCGUAGGCGGUUUUUUAAGUCAGUGGUGAAAUCCUGCGGCUCAACCGUAGAACCGCCAUUGAUACUGAAGAACUUGAAUUUGGUUGAGGUAGGCGGAAUGAGUAGUGUAGCGGUGAAAUGCUUAGAUAUUACUCAGAACACCGAUUGCGAAGGCAGCUUACCAAGCCAACAUUGACGCUGAGGCACGAAAGCGUGGGGAGCGAACAGG